This 253-nucleotide ribosomal RNA is filed under the name uncultured bacterium. RNAcentral describes it as "partial 16S ribosomal RNA". It matches the Rfam family "Bacterial small subunit ribosomal RNA", at positions 524 to 776 of the family's 1533-position model. The record is from RNAcentral.
UACAGAGGUCCCAAGCGUUGUUCGGAUUCACUGGGCGUAAAGGGCGCGUAGGCGGCGUGACAAGUCACUUGUGAAAUCUCUGAGCUUAACUCAGAACGGCCAAGUGAAACUGUUGUGCUAGAGUGCAGAAGGGGCAAUCGGAAUUCUUGGUGUAGCGGUGAAAUGCGUAGAUAUCAAGAGGAACACCUGAGGUGAAGACGGGUUGCUGGGCUGACACUGACGCUGAGGCGCGAAAGCCAGGGGAGCAAACGGG